Molecule: long non-coding RNA, 281 nt
Organism: Dreissena polymorpha
Lineage: Eukaryota; Metazoa; Mollusca; Bivalvia; Myida; Dreissenidae
Exons: 3
Source: RefSeq, a predicted model, not a curated record
CUAAGAAAAUACUGUACCCAUAAAUGGCGGAAAUGUUUAAUGUGAUAAAUUGGAUACUUAUGGACAUGAUUCCAUAUGAAUUGGUGAAGAUGUGUCUGCUGUUGAUGCCAUUUUGGAAUUGGAUAACAGGAACAGAAGAAGGAAAACACAGCAUCUGUCACCCGAUUGAUGACUCGCCCCACACACGCCGUGGGUAGCUGUCAAAAGGAGAUAGCCCGACGCGAAGAAUUGGAGAGCUGUCAACACUGAGAACAAAGGUGGCACCGGCAAUGACCGACGAG